UACGUAGGGUGCAAGCGUUGUCCGGAAUUAUUGGGCGUAAAGAGCUCGUAGGCGGUUCGUCGCGUCGGCUGUGAAAACCCGCAGCUCAACUGUGGGCUUGCAGCUGAUACGGGCAGGCUUGAGUUCGGUAGGGGAGACUGGAAUUCCUGGUGUAGCGGUGAAAUGCGCAGAUAUCAGGAGGAACACCGGUGGCGAAGGCGGGUCUCUGGGCCACUACUGACGCUGAGAAGCGAAAGCAUGGGGAGCGAACAGG
This 253-nucleotide ribosomal RNA is filed under the name uncultured bacterium. Its description in RNAcentral is "partial 16S ribosomal RNA". It matches the Rfam family "Bacterial small subunit ribosomal RNA", at positions 524 to 776 of the family's 1533-position model. The record is from RNAcentral.